CAGGGAAUCUUGCACAAUGGGCGAAAGCCUGAUGCAGCGACGCCGCGUGGGGGAUGAAGGCCUUAGGGUCGUAAACCCCUUUCAGCAGGGACGAAAAUGACGGUACCUGCAGAAGAAGCCCCGGCCAACUACGUGCCAGCAGCCGCGGUAAGACGUAGGGGGCGAGCGUUGUCCGGAUUUAUUGGGCGUAAAGAGCUCGUAGGCGGUUGCGUAAGUCGGAUGUGAAAACUCAGGGCUCAACCCUGAGACGCCAUCCGAUACUGCGCUGACUUGAAUCCAGUAGGGGAGUGUGGAAUUCCUGGUGUAGCGGUGAAAUGCGCAGAUAUCAGGAGGAACACCCAUGGCGAAGGCAGCACUCUGGGCUGGUAUUGACGCUGAGGAGCGAAAGCAUGGGUAGCGAACAGGAUUAGAUACCCCCGUAGUCC
Molecule: ribosomal RNA, 425 nt
Filed under: uncultured bacterium
Lineage: Bacteria
Description: bacterial SSU rRNA
Rfam family: Bacterial small subunit ribosomal RNA
Source: RNAcentral